CUCGUUCCAUAACAACUUUGCCCUUUGAGCGUACAUAUCUCUGGUUGAGUGAGAAAAAGCUUGCUGAGCAUAGAGCAAAAGUAGAAGAGUAAAAUUGUUUACAUACUCUAUUGUAGGUACUUUUUCUCUUUGCUCACUGCUGGCAGCUCGCUGCUAAGAACACAGCAACACAGAUUUAGCAAAUAACUACUUGCACUAAAAUUUAGUGACUAAAUACUAUACACAUACAUAUAUACACACAUCUUCGCCAACUGCCACAAUUAUUAUGAGUAUUUUCUAUAUUGAGUGAGCUCAGUUGUGAGCAUGAGUGAGUUCGUUUCUGAAGCAAAUAAAAUAUAUAAAUAUGUGGAUAUAUUUAGAAGUAUGCUUGAAGUGAAGUGUGCGCGAAUAGGAACCUCCACUAUAAAAAUACAAUAUUUAUGAGUAGCUGUGGAAAUUUUGUACACUUUUGGGUUUAGUCGAUAUAAAGCACCGUAACAGUGUACAACGAAAAUAGGGAAAAGUGAAUAGCCACUGGGUUGUUCAGCCAUGAACAAUUCAGUUGGAGGAAAUUUACGUAAAAUUUUAAUAGAACAGCUAAAAGCAAAUUGCGUAAAUUCUAUUUUAGAGUUCUACAGCGAACGAAAACGAAUUAAACAGUCGAAAAUAUGUCAUAAACACGACAUAAAUUAAGUCGAUCGAAAUUUUCGAAAUAGCUGUGAUAUUUUUUAUUUUUGAAUUUCCAACUUAUACGGUUGGUUGAGAUUUUCCUAAAAUUUUCAAUGAUUUAUGAUUUAUGUCGCUAAGCACAAGUUGUGUUCGUGGCUAGUGCUGUAGGCGGAAGAGCUGAGCUGCAUAUGGAAAAAAUUCAAAGCUGCACAGUAACGGAGCUGGCAAUGUGGACAGUUAAGCAACGGCCAAGUUACAAUGACGGUCGCCCGCAAUAACUGACACACCCGGCUCCACUUCACUCCGCGGGCAGCAACACGAGCAUAACAGUGAUAUUUUAAUCAAGUGUUUGCUUGCAACCUUUGACCACUCAAAUACACAAAUAGCAUGCAACUGCUUUAAUUGCUGUUCAGGCGAUUUUCAAAUGCUAGUUUGUAAGCAACUGGCUGACUGUGAUAUUUUACGCGUGUUUAUCGUGAAUCUAAAAGCAAGGAAAAAACUAAAAAUUGCUGCAUGUAAUAUAUACUAUGGCAUAUUACUCGGCUAAUUUUUGCUUGGCUCUGCACAUUUGGAUUCUUGAUAAAUUGUGAUAAGUAGCUGUGAUAUAUUUUGUGUUCAUUUUUUGUAUAAAACUGAAAAAAAAAACACAAAAAAAUCGAAAAACAAAAUAAAAGUAGAAAAAAACUUAAAAACUUAAAACUGAAAAA
Molecule: long non-coding RNA, 1355 nt
Organism: Bactrocera neohumeralis
Lineage: Eukaryota; Metazoa; Arthropoda; Insecta; Diptera; Tephritidae
Exons: 2
Source: RefSeq, a predicted model, not a curated record